Molecule: long non-coding RNA, 1028 nt
Organism: Salvia miltiorrhiza (redroot sage)
Lineage: Eukaryota; Viridiplantae; Streptophyta; Magnoliopsida; Lamiales; Lamiaceae
Exons: 3
Source: RefSeq, a predicted model, not a curated record
UUUUCAAAGCAAGUGCGGUUUAUUUUUACCGAGAAAUCGAAUGAUGUCGGUUUAUGGAAAUUUUUCCAAGCAUAAUAUUUUUUUUAAAUUAUUUUUCCUACGAAGAGGAAUAUUAUAAUUGAGUGAGUGCACUAAUAAUAGUGCUAUAAUUAUUAUUUUGGUCACAUGAAUAAUUAUACUAUGGUAUUUUAUUAAUGAGUGACAUUUCCAUAGUUAUUGUGAUUUUUAUUUAAUCACCCUUCUCACACUUUAUUUUAAUUUCACUACCAUAUGUUAUAUGCCUUAAAUGACUAAGUAUAGAGUUUGAGAGAGUAGAGAUUGAGAGUAUAUUAUGGAGAGUGUAGAGAUUAGAGAGAGAUUAGAGAGAGAGAGAUCAUCCAUUAAUUGCAAAUAUUCUCCAAGAUUUGGAAAUCUCCUUUAAAGAUCACAAGAUCAAAUUCAAUCUUGCAAAGCCAAACCUCUCUCUCCCUCACUACAAUUUUCGGCCAUCAUCUCUCUCCCUCACACACAUUUUCUCCCAACACACACUCAUCUUCUCCAUUUAUCAAUUCCACCAUUUUCCUCCAUUGAUGGAAACCUUCGAAGCUUCCUAAAAUAUUACCAAACACUUCAAAUCACUCUAAUAUCCUCCAUAAACCUAUUCUAUCCACUUAUAAUCAAGAAAAUCCUUGAAGAAGAAGCUCCAAAGUAGAGUGAGAAAGUGAGAAUUUUGGUGAGAACUUGGGCCCGAGCGAGACGAAGAAGUAAGUUGCCUGAUUUCUUUCCAGAAUAAGCGAAGGACUUCAGGCUAAGCGAGGAGCGAGAUUGGUCUGGUGCUAGUGGGGGAAACGUUUCAAUCGAUGUAAUUAUGUUUUCGUAUUGCCUUCAUGUUAAUAGAGUCUUGAGGAUUGAGAUACUUUGUUUUCUUUUGAAAUCAAGCAAUUUACUCACGGUUAUGUGUCUUCAUACAUGUAAUCGAUUCGCCUUUUGCUGCGAUACUCUGCAUUUUAUGAUUCCUUAUGAAAAAUGAGCUAUACCCGUUUUGUUUU